Molecule: ribosomal RNA, 645 nt
Filed under: Triticum aestivum (bread wheat)
Lineage: Eukaryota; Viridiplantae; Streptophyta; Magnoliopsida; Poales; Poaceae
Description: partial small subunit ribosomal RNA
Source: RNAcentral
AUGGCUGGCUUGGAAGGUUUUGAGUUCUUCGAGAUCAUAAUUGAGAAAUCUUGCAGUAGGCAGAGGCUGCCUGACAAGUUUGCGAAGAUGCUCGCGGGCCAUGAGCCCCACAAAGUGAAGCUGCGGGAGGCCGAUAGCGGGCUUCACAGGAUGUGGAAAGUGUUGGUGGUGUUUGAUGGUGAAGGCCACAUGUACCUAGGGCCCGGCUGGGAGCAUUUGGCCCGCGCCCAUGAGCUACAGCUCGGGUACUUCCUUGUCUUCCGCUACGACGGCGACGCCAUGUUCACCGUGAAGAUGUUCGACAACACCAUGUGCCGCAUGUACUACCAGCACGACGACGAUGCCAGCAAUGGGAGCAGCAGCGGGGAUGACGAGGAGCAGAGCGGGGAUGACGACGAGGAGCAGAGCGGGGAUGACGAGGAGCAGCCUAUUCUGGCUGACGGCGAACAUGCUAUGGUGGUGGCUGACGACGACCCUGCUAUGUUGGUGGCGGAUGACGACCUUGCUAUGGUGGUGGCGGACGACGACCUCGCGAUGGUGGUGGCGGACGACAACCUCGCGAUGGUGGUGGCGGACGACGACCUCGCGAUGGUGGCGGCCCUGCAAUCCCACAGCUUGGUGACAGGACCAUGCCAAUUGUGGUAG